RNAcentral lists this ribosomal RNA (661 nucleotides) under Bacillus sp. 9BL. RNAcentral describes it as "bacterial SSU rRNA". It matches the Rfam family "Bacterial small subunit ribosomal RNA", at positions 71 to 717 of the family's 1533-position model. The record is from RNAcentral. Lineage: Bacteria; Bacillati; Bacillota; Bacilli; Caryophanales; Bacillaceae.
GAAGGGAGCUUGCUCCCGGAUGUUAGCGGCGGACGGGUGAGUAACACGUGGGUAACCUGCCUGUAAGACUGGGAUAACUCCGGGAAACCGGAGCUAAUACCGGAUAGUUCCUUGAACCGCAUGGUUCAAGGAUGAAAGACGGUUUCGGCUGUCACUUACAGAUGGACCCGCGGCGCAUUAGCUAGUUGGUGAGGUAACGGCUCACCAAGGCGACGAUGCGUAGCCGACCUGAGAGGGUGAUCGGCCACACUGGGACUGAGACACGGCCCAGACUCCUACGGGAGGCAGCAGUAGGGAAUCUUCCGCAAUGGACGAAAGUCUGACGGAGCAACGCCGCGUGAGUGAUGAAGGUUUUCGGAUCGUAAAGCUCUGUUGUUAGGGAAGAACAAGUGCAAGAGUAACUGCUUGCACCUUGACGGUACCUAACCAGAAAGCCACGGCUAACUACGUGCCAGCAGCCGCGGUAAUACGUAGGUGGCAAGCGUUGUCCGGAAUUAUUGGGCGUAAAGGGCUCGCAGGCGGUUUCUUAAGUCUGAUGUGAAAGCCCCCGGCUCAACCGGGGAGGGUCAUUGGAAACUGGGAAACUUGAGUGCAGAAGAGGAGAGUGGAAUUCCACGUGUAGCGGUGAAAUGCGUAGAGAUGUGGAGGAACACCAGUGGCG